GUUUAUAUUAGGUACUAAAAACUGUCUCUUAGGAAUGGAGUGAUUAAUUAGGGGCUGGAGCAGUUUGUCUGUGAUUGCGGUGGUGUAGAAUCGGUGUUUGCAAGUGUUUGCUAUUCAAUUUGCAGGUGACUCAACUCAACAUAUCUACUGCUUUUUUAAAGGGAUUGGUUGGCAGAUCUAGAUCAAUUCAUUGGGUCAUUUUCAAAUAGAAUGCUUGUGUUUUGAGUAUUUGGAAAGCAAGAAAUGGAAAACUAUUUCAUAACAGACCAUUUAGGGUACACGUAAGUUGGCUGAGCAGGAGAAAUUGAAUAGUCUUGAUUAUAACAUAAAAUAUCUCAAUGAUGCUUGAAUGCAAGUGCUAGUUUGGGGUUUAUUUGACUGUGUUUUCUGCUGUCCAAAGUCUGUCAUAAUUGCUUGA
Molecule: long non-coding RNA, 418 nt
Filed under: Medicago truncatula (barrel medic)
Lineage: Eukaryota; Viridiplantae; Streptophyta; Magnoliopsida; Fabales; Fabaceae
Description: lncRNA gene12792
Source: RNAcentral